GAUUAAGCCAUGCAUGUGUAAGUAUAAAUAGUUAACUUUGAAACUGCGAAUGGCUCAUUAUAUCAGUUAUAGUUUAUUUGAUGAAGAAUACUAAUUGGAUAACCGUAGUAAUUCUAGAGCUAAUACAUGUAUAAAGUCUUGUAGACUGCAUUUAUUAGAAUGAAAACCAUAGGUUUCGGCCUAUUCGUGAGUAAUAAUAACUAAUCAUAUCGUAUGCUUAGGUAACGAUGUGUCUUUCAAGUUUCUGCCCUAUCAGCUUUCGAUGGUAGUGUAUUGGACUACCAUG
RNAcentral lists this ribosomal RNA (286 nucleotides) under Blastocystis hominis. Its description in RNAcentral is "partial 18S ribosomal RNA". It matches the Rfam family "Eukaryotic small subunit ribosomal RNA", at positions 42 to 348 of the family's 1831-position model. The record is from RNAcentral. Lineage: Eukaryota; Bigyra; Opalinata; Blastocystidae. RNAcentral also lists the same sequence under 1 other name.